Molecule: ribosomal RNA, 609 nt
Filed under: Triticum aestivum (bread wheat)
Lineage: Eukaryota; Viridiplantae; Streptophyta; Magnoliopsida; Poales; Poaceae
Description: partial small subunit ribosomal RNA
Source: RNAcentral
AUGACUACCAUCUACAUGAGCCAUCUAUCUACUCUCCCUCUAAUGGAUGGAGAUCAAGAUCAAGGGCACUUUCAAGCCUUUCAUCUACCCAAAGAUCCUCCUAUCUUGUUCCCUUUCAUGAUCGACAACCCAGUGGAGCAUCAAGGGCAAGGCUAUGGAGACCAGCACUCGAGGCAGCAAUUUUUUGGUGAAUCUAAUCAGCAGUUCAAUGAUCACAUGAUGAUGAGCGGAGGAUCUGCGGACGUCUUUGCCACAUGCUCCCCGUUCGGACCUACCAUCCAAAGCGUCGGCAGUGACAUGAUCCAGAGAUCCUCAUACAAUUCCUAUGAUUUCGAAGCCACACAUGCCGGCGAUGGAUCGACUAGCCAGUGGGCAUCCGCCAAACCGCCAGUGAAGAUGAGGAUCAUGAAAAAGGCGCCAACGAAUGAUCACCAAGGAGGGACAGCGAGAAAGCCAAGGAGAAGGGCACAAGCACACCAAGGUGAUGAGAGCCAGCAGCUGCAGCAUCCCAUGGGUGUUAUCAGAGUGUGCUCAGACUGCAACACCUCCAAUACCCCCUUGUGGAGGAGUGGUCCUUGUGGCCCCAAGGUGAAAUAUAUUGCUAACUAG